Molecule: non-coding RNA, 116 nt
Organism: Aedes aegypti (yellow fever mosquito)
Lineage: Eukaryota; Metazoa; Arthropoda; Insecta; Diptera; Culicidae
Source: Rfam
UGCCCAGCAACUUCUAUCCAUAUCUCCUCGUGGUACUGGCCGAGGCACGAGUAACCUUAGAGAAGAUCGGGUAACCAACCCUGAUGGAAACUUUGGUCGUAUUCUAACAGGGAAGU